Molecule: long non-coding RNA, 1020 nt
Organism: Lactuca sativa (garden lettuce)
Lineage: Eukaryota; Viridiplantae; Streptophyta; Magnoliopsida; Asterales; Asteraceae
Source: RefSeq, a predicted model, not a curated record
GUGAGAGAGCGAGACGAAAGGCUGAUAGCGGAAGAAAGAUUCAUCGUCUCUGUUAAUCUACUCUCCUAGUAGAGUCUUUAUAAACUCGGUCCUAGGUGUGAAUAUAAGGAAUGCAGAAGGAUCAUGAAUCUUACAUUGAUUUGAGAGAUGAAAGAGAUUGUGUUGAUGAUAUCUUUAAUUCCAAGGGAUAUUGCGAAGGCUACAACGAGACUAGAGAUAACUUCGAUUGUUGAGGAAACUGAAUCUUUGCAAUCUUCUAUGCCCUUAACAGCUUCAGAUUCUGUUAAACUUCAUCUCUACAACAAUAUCAAUGGAGGGAUUGAUGGUAACUGAUGUAGUAUUGUUGUAUUUAUAACCAUCAAAGUACAUCGGAGGACAUCGUUUGUGAACUAAGUUCAAUUCUUUUUAAUAUGUAGUCCUAAUUUGAUGUAAUUUAUUGAACAUGACUAUUUUUUCAUGUAAUUCUACACCAUUGGUCAAAAGUAAUAUAUACAUGAAAGUAAACUGAUGUCUAUACAUCAACUGUUCAAAAAAAAACUGUUCCCUAUACAAAUAAUAAUACAAAAUGCAAUAUAAUCAUCACAUGAGUGAUUACUUAUGUUCUAGAUGAAAAAACUAAUAUAAAAAAGAAACAAGAUAUGAGCAUUAACUUGACUAAUUGGAAGAUAGGGGGUGAUAUGACCACUGUUUACUGUAAGGGUAUGUAGUUUUUAUACCAAAAAAAAGUCAAAUAACUUGCUUUCAUAAAAAAUGGGUAAUAUACACUAAUAGAACCCGGUUCUUCUUUUAAGGCCGGGUCAUAUACCCAUACAACAAAAGUCCCAGUUGCUAUGCAAGGGACCGGGUUACUUUAGUGUAAUAUAUAGCCCGUUUUUUUCAAAUGAACCGGGUCAUAUUGCUUGUCCUGUUUUAGAUCCCGGUUUUUCCAUUAUAUAACCCGGUUUUUCCAAAAACCGGGUCCUAAUUGGCGACUUGUAUACACCGUUUUGUAGUAGUGAUGGCCCAUCACAUGUUUGAUAU